CCCUGUCUUCUCUCAUUCCCUCUCCCCUUUAUUUCUUAUUGGCUUUCCCUAUUAAAUCUCUUUCAUGUCUUAAUUCCAUCUUAGCAUUUUGUUUCUGAAGGAACUGAAUUGACCCAAGGAUGUAGCUAAAUAUUUUCCUUUUUUUUCCAUUCUUACAGGCCUUCUUAUUGAGAUGGCAUCUAUUAUUUCAGAAGUUGUCGUAGCAAAAAAAAAAAAAAAAAAAAAAAAAAAAAAGAGAGAAAAAGAGGCAAUGUGGUUGAAAGGUGACUACAAUACAGUGCUAUUGAUAGAUCUGGCCUCUACUAUCUGA
Molecule: long non-coding RNA, 310 nt
Filed under: Callithrix jacchus (white-tufted-ear marmoset)
Lineage: Eukaryota; Metazoa; Chordata; Mammalia; Primates; Cebidae
Description: lncRNA (ENSCJAG00000083110.1)
Source: RNAcentral